ACUCUUCAACUCCCCAGUUUCUUGUAGACUGUGUGGAUGUUUGGAUUCUGAGCGCUGCUGGCUCCUCGUGAGCGAAGCUCGUUCGUAAUACAUUAGCAUCUCUAAUUCGAAUUCGGAUUGACUCAGUGUAAUAGACUAUUCGCUGAGGACACUAGUAAUAGUGGCCGUGUUCAAUACAAGAGAAGCUUCUAGCCCCUCUAGUCAUUUUUGA
Molecule: unclassified non-coding RNA, 211 nt
Filed under: uncultured Rhodotorula
Lineage: Eukaryota; Fungi; Basidiomycota
Description: sequence contains ITS2
Source: RNAcentral